GCAGCCGCCGCGGGAAAACAGAGGGUGCGAGCGUUAAUCGGAUUUACUGGGCGUAAAGCGUGCGUAGGCGGCUAAUUGAGUCGGAUGUGAAAUCCCCGAGCUUAACUUGGGAAUUGCAUUCGAUACUGGUUAGCUAGAGUGUGGGAGAGGAUGGUAGAAUUCCAGGUGUAGCGGUGAAAUGCGUAGAGAUCUGGAGGAAUACCGAUGGCGAAGGCAGCCAUCUGGCCUAACACUGACGCUGAGGUACGAAAGCAUGGGGAGCAAACAGGAUUAGAUACCCCCGUAGUCCCUGUCUCUUAUAC
RNAcentral lists this ribosomal RNA (302 nucleotides) under uncultured bacterium. RNAcentral describes it as "partial 16S ribosomal RNA". It matches the Rfam family "Bacterial small subunit ribosomal RNA", at positions 508 to 807 of the family's 1533-position model. The record is from RNAcentral.